Long non-coding RNA from Bactrocera latifrons, 728 nucleotides. RefSeq lists it as uncharacterized. The transcript is spliced from 3 exons. The record is from RefSeq and is a predicted model, not a curated record. NCBI's taxonomy places the organism in Eukaryota, Metazoa, Arthropoda, Insecta, Diptera, Tephritidae.
UCAUAUGUCAUAUGCAAAUGUAAUUUUAUAAUUUUCUUUGGAUUAUUUCAAAAUUAUUCAGAAUAUUCUUUAAACGUAUUAAUAAAUCUUCAAAAAUAAAGGCUAAAACUACUCACCUAAAAAUGUUACAUUAUGCUUUCACAAAUGAACUACAUUUGCUUAAUGAGCACGACUUAUUGUGCGUUGGAUUUAUCGUGCGCGGUGUAAGGGAAUGAUAACAAUGGGUUAGAUAGGAAAAUUGCAGCACUUGUACAAUAUGCGUUCACGUUUACAACGGAGAUAAGAGGAUAAACAGUGAUUAGCAGCACUUGGGACACCUGACGGAACCGGAGCACAUGCUCUUAUUUGAAAUAUGUGUGAAAGUGUGUAAUUAUAUUACUGUUGCCUACAAAUGCAGCAGCAAAAGAAGCAAAAGGUACUUCAAAAAAAUAAAUACGGCUAAAGUAAAUAAACAUAAUUCAACUAGCAAUGAAGUACAAAUGCUCCUGAAUGCUGUAUAUAGAUGUAGCUACAUAUGAUAUAUAAUGGACUGAUAAACACAACUGCAGCAGGCGCAGUCUCUACAGUCAAUUAUAUCCGUUCUUUCACAUAAUCAUUUAUGUUCAAGCUAUUCAUGAAGUUAUCUGGCAAACAUCACUAAUAGCUAGGCAAGCUAGACGCURGUAAAUAUUUCCAAUUAUGUUGAAAUUUAUGAAAAUGCAUUCUAAAAAUUCUUUACUUGCUGCAAU